RNAcentral lists this transfer RNA (16 nucleotides) under Colocasia esculenta (taro). RNAcentral describes it as "partial tRNA-Asn". RNAcentral also lists the same sequence under 8 other names. Lineage: Eukaryota; Viridiplantae; Streptophyta; Magnoliopsida; Alismatales; Araceae. The record is from RNAcentral.
UCCUCAGUAGCUCAGU